AUGGCGUGCGAGACCCAGAACGUCUCACGGUUGCCCGACGAAGUCGUCAUGGAGAUAUUUUCCUUCUUGCCGGCAAAGUCCAUCGGCCGCUUCCGCAGUAUGUCGCGUUCAUGGUGCGCCGAGCUCUCCUCGCCUUCGUUCGUCGAGUUCCACCGCUGGCGAGCCAACAAUCCAAACCAGCCCAAGCUCUUCUUUAGCGCCAACUUCGACGACGAGGCAGCCGGUUCCGAAGACGACAACGAGGCGACGAGGCAUCCGAUGAUUCCAAAGACGACGACGAGGCAUCCGAUGAUUCCAAAGACGACGACCAGGCAUCCGACGAUUCCAUAG
RNAcentral lists this ribosomal RNA (330 nucleotides) under Triticum aestivum (bread wheat). RNAcentral describes it as "partial small subunit ribosomal RNA". Lineage: Eukaryota; Viridiplantae; Streptophyta; Magnoliopsida; Poales; Poaceae. The record is from RNAcentral.